Molecule: long non-coding RNA, 339 nt
Organism: Eleginops maclovinus (Patagonian blennie)
Lineage: Eukaryota; Metazoa; Chordata; Actinopteri; Perciformes; Eleginopidae
Exons: 3
Source: RefSeq, a predicted model, not a curated record
UGAGGAUCUGGAAAGCACGCAGAGCAGAGGACACAACCCACACAGGUGUGUGACAGAAGCUCAUUGAGAUUUGAGAAGAAUAAAGUACUAAACUUCUAUGGGUGUUUUCAAAUGAGUGAGACUGGAUCCCGACUGAGUAUAACUCAGCAUAACUGCUAGUGGAUCUCUUUAUCUCUUGGACGCUGACAUCAAGAUGUAGCCUACUGCCAUUCCAAGGGGACGGUUCCUGUCCCCUUGUCAAGGUGGAUGGCAGUCACCAGGUGGAUGUUGGAUGUGAAUGCAGGAGCAGCACGGUCAUCACUGCGGGCAUACAGACGAGCGAGAGGAAGGACAAUAGAG